Molecule: ribosomal RNA, 634 nt
Filed under: Kocuria rosea
Lineage: Bacteria; Bacillati; Actinomycetota; Actinomycetes; Micrococcales; Micrococcaceae
Description: bacterial SSU rRNA
Rfam family: Bacterial small subunit ribosomal RNA
Source: RNAcentral
GUCGACGAUGAUGCCCAGCUUGCUGGGCGGAUUAGUGGCGAACGGGUGAGUAAUACGUGAGUAACCUGCCCUUGACUCUGGGAUAAGCCUGGGAAACUGGGUCUAAUACUGGAUACUACCUCUUGCCGCAUGGUGGGUGGUGGAAAGGGUUUUACUGGUUUUGGAUGGGCUCACGGCCUAUCAGCUUGUUGGUGGGGUAAUGGCUCACCAAGGCGACGACGGGUAGCCGGCCUGAGAGGGUGACCGGCCACACUGGGACUGAGACACGGCCCAGACUCCUACGGGAGGCAGCAGUGGGGAAUAUUGCACAAUGGGCGGAAGCCUGAUGCAGCGACGCCGCGUGAGGGAUGACGGCCUUCGGGUUGUAAACCUCUUUCAGUAGGGAAGAAGCGAGAGUGACGGUACCUGCAGAAGAAGCGCCGGCUAACUACGUGCCAGCAGCCGCGGUAAUACGUAGGGCGCAAGCGUUGUCCGGAAUUAUUGGGCGUAAAGAGCUCGUAGGCGGUUUGUCGCGUCUGCUGUGAAAGCCCGGGGCUCAACCCCGGGUCUGCAGUGGGUACGGGCAGACUAGAGUGCAGUAGGGGAGACUGGAAUUCCUGGUGUAGCGGUGAAAUGCGCAGAUAUCAGGAGGAAC